Long non-coding RNA from Canis lupus familiaris (dog), 459 nucleotides. RefSeq lists it as uncharacterized. The transcript is spliced from 2 exons. The record is from RefSeq and is a predicted model, not a curated record. Lineage: Eukaryota; Metazoa; Chordata; Mammalia; Carnivora; Canidae.
GAAGCGAAAGGCCAGUGCCUCUGCUUCCUACAGACGCCGGGUCCAGAGCCUUUGAUCCCUUUGGCCAGGAAGGCCACGGUUCUCUGGAAGAGAGAGAAAGCAUGAGCUGUGAGAGGAGCAGGAGAGGGAGACAACAUCCAGUAGACUCUGCACGGACUACAGAGCCUGACUCAGGGUUCAUUCAGUCCUACAACCCGGAGAGCACGAUCUGCGCCAGAACUGAGAGUCAGAUAUUCAAUUAAUGGAGCCUCAAGAUUUUUUUAAAGAAUCUAAAGUAUGAUACUUUAACUUGAGGACAUAACUUGGUGUACAAAGAGAAGUUUACUUAUACUUUUCAUUUCUGUGAAGUAGGAGAGUUGAACUUUGCCAGUUAUUAACUGCAUGCACUAAAGGAGGAUUAAUAAUUCUGUGAUUUAAUCAGAUUAAAAUAACAAUAAAUACACUUUUUAUUCACUCGUA